AUUGAACGCUGGCGGCAUGCUUUACACAUGCAAGUCGGACGGCCGCACAGAGACGCUUCCUUUUUGGGGGUCGAGGGGCAAAGGUGGGAGACAUAUAGCGAACCUACCCAUGAAACUGGGAUUACUUAAUGAAACGAGUGCUAAUACCGGCAAAUUUUUUGAGACGGAAGGCUGGAGACUUUCGGACCUUUCUGUAUUCACGUGUCCCUUAUCUGAUUAGCUAGUUGGUGGGGUAACGGCCUACCAAGGCGACGAUCAGUAGCGGGUCUGAGAGGAUGAUCCGCCACACUGGGACUGAGACACGGCCCAGACUCCUACGGGAGGCAGCAGUGGGGAAUUUUGGACAAUGGGCGCAAGCCUGAUCCAGCCAUGCCGCGUGUCUGAAGAAGGCCUUCGGGUUGUAAAGGACUUUUGUCAGGGAAGAAAAGGCUGUUGCUAAUAUCGACAGCUGAUGACGGUACCUGAAGAAUAAGCACCGGCUAACUACGUG
This 490-nucleotide ribosomal RNA is filed under the name uncultured bacterium. RNAcentral describes it as "partial 16S ribosomal RNA". It matches the Rfam family "Bacterial small subunit ribosomal RNA", at positions 30 to 507 of the family's 1533-position model. The record is from RNAcentral.